AUUGAACGCUGGCGGCAGGCCUAACACAUGCAAGUCGAGCGGAGCGGCGGACGGGUGAGUAAUGCCUAGGAAUCUGCCUGGUAGUGGGGGAUAACGACCGGAAACGGGCGCUAAUACCGCAUACUAUCAGAUGAGCCUAGGUCGGCUUAGCUAGUUGGUGGGGUAAAGGCCUACCAAGGAGACGAUCCGUAACUGGUCUGAGAGGAUGAUCAGUCACACGGGAACUGAGACAAGGGCCAGACUACUACGGGAGGCAGCAGGGGGGAAUAUUGGACAAUGGGCGAAAGCCUGAUCCAGCCACGCCGCGUGUGUGAAGAAGGUCUUCGGAUUGUAAAGCACUUUAAGUCGGGAGGCGUUACCAACAGAAUAAGCACCGGCUAACUACGUGCCAGCAGCCGCGGUAAUAC
This 407-nucleotide ribosomal RNA is filed under the name uncultured bacterium. Its description in RNAcentral is "partial 16S ribosomal RNA". It matches the Rfam family "Bacterial small subunit ribosomal RNA", at positions 30 to 526 of the family's 1533-position model. The record is from RNAcentral.